UACGUAGGGUGCGAGCGUUGUCCGGAAUUACUGGGCGUAAAGCGCGCGUAGGCGGACCUGCAAGUCGGGGGUGAAAGCCCGAGGCUCAACCUCGGAACUGCCUUCGAUACUGCGGGUCUCGAGUCCGGGAGAGGUGAGUGGAAUUCCGUAGUGUAGAGGUGAAAUUCGUAGAUAUUAGGAAGAACACCAGUGGCGAAGGCGGCU
This 204-nucleotide ribosomal RNA is filed under the name uncultured bacterium. Its description in RNAcentral is "partial 16S ribosomal RNA". It matches the Rfam family "Bacterial small subunit ribosomal RNA", at positions 524 to 726 of the family's 1533-position model. The record is from RNAcentral.